This 380-nucleotide ribosomal RNA is filed under the name uncultured eukaryote. RNAcentral's name for it is "partial 18S ribosomal RNA". It matches the Rfam family "Eukaryotic small subunit ribosomal RNA", at positions 592 to 976 of the family's 1831-position model. The record is from RNAcentral.
CAAUAGCGUAUAUUAAAGUUGUUGCGGUUAAAAAGCUCGUAGUUGGAUUUCUGCUGAGAACGACCGGUCCGCCCAUUGGGUGUGUAUCUGGCUCUUUCUUGGCAUCUUCUUGGUGAACGUUACUGCACUUGACUGUGUGGAGCGCUACCCAGGACUUUUACUUUGAGGAAAUUAGAGUGUUUCAAGCAGGCAUACGCCUUGAAUACGUUAGCAUGGAAUAAUAAGAUAGGACCUCGGUUCUAUUUUGUUGGUUUCUAGAGCUGAGGUAAUGAUUAAUAGGGAUAGUUGGGGGCAUUCGUAUUUAACUGUCAGAGGUGAAAUUCUUGGAUUUUUUAAAGACGAACAAUUGCGAAGGCAUCUACCCAGGAUGUUUUUGUUGA